GGGGCCUGUUUGACCGGGCCACAGCCCUAUACAGGGGAGGAAACGAGAGUUCCUCCGGUAUGCUGCCGGUUCCCCUUGAGUGCGGGUUGGAACCUUGAACGCCACACUCGGCGGAAAUCCGAUGGUCGGAUUCCACGCCCUUCAGGGCGUGGAGGAGGUCAACACGUAUCUUAUU
Molecule: unclassified non-coding RNA, 175 nt
Filed under: Natrinema hispanicum
Lineage: Archaea; Methanobacteriati; Methanobacteriota; Halobacteria; Halobacteriales; Natrialbaceae
Description: Haloterrigena hispanica HgcC family RNA
Source: RNAcentral